ACGGUUGGCACCACUGGGCAGGUGAGGUGCUCAGCUCCAGGGAAAGGAAACCUGAGCUGUGAGAGAGACCAUCAGAGGACCGGCGAAGCCAUCAGAGGGCAUCUGAUCACUCAUACCCUGUUCCAUUUGGGAAUUCCUUCUUGCCCAUGAACUCCUUCCUAAAGAUUCCGCAGAGACCGCUAGGCCCGCCGGUGUGCUCUUGAGCAGGUCACUCCAGCCUCCGCCAGGCAGGGGAACCAACGGGGAUGAGGAAGAGAAGGCCGUUGAAGGUGGUCCUUGCCUUUAUCACUACACAACAGAUGAACAGAGGGGACGGGAAAAUAAGAUAAAAACGGAGAGGGAGGCCAACCAGAGAUCCUUUGAACUACAGACACUGAGGGUUGCGGGAGGGGAGGUGGGGGAGGAUGGCCUCAGUGCGUGAUGGGCACGAAGGUGGGGGCUUGCUGGGAUGAGCACUGGGUGUUAUGUGUCGGGGUGAAUCACGGGGUGCUACUCCUGAAACCAAAAGUGCCCUGUAUGUUAACGAACUUGGAUUUAAAUAAGUUAAAGGAUUACAAAAAGAUUUUACCAGCGGCAUAGA
This is a long non-coding RNA of Suricata suricatta (meerkat), 580 nucleotides long. RefSeq lists it as uncharacterized. Lineage: Eukaryota; Metazoa; Chordata; Mammalia; Carnivora; Herpestidae. The transcript has 2 exons. The record is from RefSeq and is a predicted model, not a curated record.